Small nucleolar RNA from Echinops telfairi (small Madagascar hedgehog), 134 nucleotides. RefSeq annotates it as small nucleolar RNA SNORA42/SNORA80 family. The transcript has a single exon. The record is from RefSeq and is a predicted model, not a curated record. Lineage: Eukaryota; Metazoa; Chordata; Mammalia; Afrosoricida; Tenrecidae.
GAAUGGGUUUGGCUUUAUGGCAGGCCCGACCCCAUGGGCCUCUCCUAGUGUCCCCUGGCAGAGCAAAUUCUAACUCUGAAACAUUGCCUGGCUUUGACCCUUGGGCUUCCGACACAGAUGUGGGUUGCACAGUG